Molecule: ribosomal RNA, 422 nt
Filed under: uncultured bacterium
Lineage: Bacteria
Description: partial 16S ribosomal RNA
Rfam family: Bacterial small subunit ribosomal RNA
Source: RNAcentral
UGAGGAAUAUUGGUCAAUGGGGGAAACCCUGAACCAGCGACGCCGCGUGCGGGAUGAAGGGGCUUUGCCCUGUAAACCGCUGUCGGAGGGGAAGAAAAGAUGGCUCGGUCAUCUGGGACUGUACCCUCAAAGGAAGGACCGGCUAACUACGUGCCAGCAGCCGCGGUAAUACGUAGGGUCCAAGCGUUGUCCGGAAUCACUGGGUGUAAAGGGUGCGCAGGCGGGCUUGUGCGUCAGAGGUUAAAGACCCCGGCUUAACCGGGGAAGUGCCUUUGAUACGGCAAGUCUUGAGUACGAGAGAGGAAGGUGGAAUUCCUGGUGUAGCGGUGAAAUGCGUAGAGAUCUGAAGGAACACCAGUGGCGAAGGCGACUUACUGGCUUAAAACUGACGCUGAGGUACGAAAGCGUGGGUAGCAAACAGG